This is an RNA transcript of Galeopterus variegatus (Sunda flying lemur), 4659 nucleotides long. It is a transcript of the gene named SEC14-like 1 (S. cerevisiae), with no coding region annotated. The record is from RefSeq and is a predicted model, not a curated record. The transcript is spliced from 17 exons. Lineage: Eukaryota; Metazoa; Chordata; Mammalia; Dermoptera; Cynocephalidae.
CUUCCUCUCCGGCAGGUUUGGACCGAGCUCUCCCUGACUACCCCACCGCUUCCCUCCCCAUCUCCCAGUACAGCCGUGCUCUGGACUUCACUCGGUCUGCGUCAUCACGCAUGUGCAGAAGUUACCACCACCUGGCACUGGGAGUGAGAGGAUUGCUGUUGUACUACAAUCAUGGUGCAAAAAUACCAGUCACCAGUGAGGGUGUAUAAACACCCCUUUGAAUUAGUUAUGGCUGCCUAUGAAAGGAGGUUCCCUACAUGUCCUUUGAUUCCAAUGUUCGUGGACAGUGACACUGUGAAUGAAUUUAAGAGUGAAGAUGGGGCUAUUCAUGUUAUUGAAAGGCGCUGCAAACUGGAUGUGGAUGCACCCAGAUUGUUGAAGAAGAUUGCAGGAGUUGAUUAUGUUUAUUUUAUACAAAAAAACUCACUGAAUUCUCGGGAACGUACUUUGCACAUUGAGGCCCAUAAUGAAACGUUUUCUAAUCGGGUCAUCAUUAACGAACACUGCUGCUACACCGUUCACCCUGAAAAUGAAGAUUGGACCUGUUUUGAACAGUCUGCAAGUUUAGAUAUUAAAUCUUUCUUUGGUUUUGAAAGUACAGUGGAAAAAAUAGCAAUGAAACAAUAUACCAGCAACAUCAAAAAAGGAAAAGAGAUCAUUGAAUACUACCUUCGGCAGUUAGAAGAAGAAGGCAUAACCUUUGUACCCCGUUGGACUCCACCUUCCAUCACUCCCUCUUCAGAGACAUCAUUGUCAUGCAAGAAACAAGCUGCUUCAAUGGCUGUUAUCAUCCCAGAUGCUACCCUCAAGGAAGGGCUGGGCGGUGAGGCCCUCAGUAACCCCGCAGGGGCACCCGAGUCCAUGGUGGGAACUCCAGAUGACAAACUAGAUGCAGACUACAUCAAGAGAUACCUGGGUGAUUUGACUCCACUGCAGGAGAGCUGCCUCAUUAGACUUCGCCAGUGGCUCCAGGAAACCCACAAGGGCAAAAUCCCAAAAGAUGAGCAUAUUCUUCGGUUCCUACGUGCUCGGGAUUUUAAUAUUGACAAAGCCAGAGAGAUUAUGUGUCAGUCUUUAACAUGGCGGAAGCAACACCAGGUAGACUACAUUCUUGAUACCUGGAACCCUCCCCAGGUCCUUCAGGAUUACUACGCAGGAGGCUGGCAUCAUCAUGACAAAGAUGGGCGGCCUCUCUAUGUGCUCAGGCUGGGGCAGAUGGACACCAAAGGCUUGGUGAGGGCCCUCGGAGAGGAGGCCCUGCUGAGAUACGUGCUCUCCAUCAAUGAAGAAGGGCUAAGGCGAUGUGAAGAAAAUACAAAAGUUUUUGGUCGGCCUAUCAGUUCAUGGACCUGCCUGGUGGACCUGGAGGGGCUGAACAUGCGCCACUUGUGGAGACCUGGUGUCAAAGCCCUGUUGCGGAUCAUCGAAGUGGUGGAGGCCAACUACCCUGAGACGCUGGGCCGCCUUCUCAUCCUUCGGGCGCCCAGGGUAUUUCCUGUCCUCUGGACACUGGUUAGUCCGUUCAUUGAUGACAACACCAGAAGGAAAUUCCUCAUUUAUGCAGGAAACGACUACCAGGGUCCUGGAGGCCUGCUGGAUUACAUCGACAAGGAGAUCAUUCCAGAUUUCUUGAGUGGGGAGUGCAUGUGUGAAGUGCCAGAGGGUGGGCUGGUUCCCAAAUCCCUGUACAGGACUGCGGAAGAGCUGGAAAACGAAGACCUCAAGCUCUGGACUGAGACCAUCUACCAGUCUGCGAGUGUUUUCAAAGGAGCCCCGCACGAGAUUCUCAUUCAGAUUGUGGAUGCCUCUUCAGUGAUCACUUGGGAUUUUGAUGUGUGCAAAGGGGACAUUGUCUUUAACAUCUAUCACUCCAAGAGGUCGCCACAGCCACCUAAAAAGGAGUCCCUGGGGGCCCACAGCAUCACUUCUCCAGGCGGGAACAACGUGCAGCUCAUAGACAAAGUGUGGCAGCUGGGCCGUGACUACAGCAUGGUGGAGUCGCCUCUGAUUUGCAAAGAAGGAGAAAGCGUGCAGGGCUCCCAUGUGACAAGGUGGCCGGGCUUCUACAUCCUGCAGUGGAAAUUCCACAGCAUGCCAGCAUGUGCUGCAACCAACCUGCCCCGCGUGGAUGACGUGCUGGCCUCCCUGCAGGUCUCCUCUCACAAGUGCAAAGUGAUGUACUACACUGAAGUGAUCGGGUCUGAAGAUUUCAGAGGUUCUAUGACCAGCCUGGAGUCCAGCCACAGCGGGUUCUCCCAGCUGAGCGCUGCCACCACCUCUUCCAACCAGUCUCACUCCAGCUCCAUGAUUUCCAGGUAGUGCCAUGACACCCAUGCCUACUGUGUGGAGGGGACAGCCACCCCUCCUCGGACAGCCAGCUGCGCUCCGCCUGUCCUCCCGCCAAGUGGCGACAUUGUGCAGACUCCUCUCACUCUCUAGAUAGCAAGUAGCUCUCCAGAUGGUAAAUUUAGUCGUUUGAUCCCAAAACUAUCUUGACCAGUAGUUUUAACUCUAACCGUAAUUUUAACUCAAUAGCCAUAGACUUUGUAUACAGCGUGCACAAAAUCCAACCAGGGCACAAGGGCUCUCUUGAAAGAAAAGCAGUUUAUAUACAGUUGAGAGACUGACUUUUUCUCAAAUGUUGAUGCAAAAAAUUUUUCAACAAACUCCACAUGGUCCAUUAGCGAAUGAAUUCCUACACCGCCCUUCAGAAACAAGUCCCACCUUCUCACAUGGAACAGAACCUGCUAACUUGUUUCCCUGAACCGCAUCGCAGCCCUCACAUCCCCUGCUGUUGGUCGAGAUGGUCCGUGGAUUCACCCUCCAGGUUCCUUUUCCUCUGAGGGUGCGGAGGCAGCCUGUGGGAGCACCUGCUCCCGUGGCCAGAGCCACCUGAGACUCUAAAGGGGGUGCUGGUGGCUCAGGAGGGACCCUUGUGGACUCCCCACGACUCCAGGAAAACGCUGCCAUCAUUAAAUGUUACCUUCUCUUUCCUUCUCUUAAAAUCCUUUUGAUAAUUUUCAGACAAGGAUUUUUCUGUAUGUGAACUCGGGUGGAGGGGAUUCUUUCUCUUUUUUCUUGUGCUGUGUCAUUCUUUCUACCUGCAAAAUGUUAGUUCUAAACUCACUGUAGAUUUAUCUCCUUUGUGCUCUCUAGGAGCUUUCUAUCCUCAGAGCCCAGAUAGUCCUUCUAGGCACUAGAGGGUAUUUUGGAAAGUGAGUAAGUCAACAUUUGCCGUUUUGACACCAUGCACAGUGUUUGCUUUAGCUAGCCAGCAUACUCCCCGUGUUGCCACUUCAGGAUGGCAUGUGGCUUGCAGGAGCCUGGCUCCUUUGUAAAUGGAGAUUGUGGACUCACGUAUGUGUGUGUGUGCAUGUGCAUGUGUGCAUGCGUGUGCGUGCGUGUGACAGUGGGGUGCUGGUGGGGAUGGGGCUAAUAGAAACUUAAUUGGAGUAAGAAAGGACUCUUCAUAGAAGCAAGUCAGAAUAUAACAAUAGUUUAUCUUUUACAUCUUCUUUUUGAUUCCCAGUUACAAAGCCUGCUGUAUCUUGGACAGGCCCUCGUUUUUUCAGCUCAUUAUGGGAAAAGCAGAUUAUUUGCGAAUCUUGCCAGAAGUUGCAUAGAGUUGGUCUCUGUGAUAGACAUGCAGUGUGUGUUUUUGUGUGUGGCAGAGGCUAUACUUUUAAAGAUAUGUGCCAAAAGCCGCACAACCAUUACCUGUGUGUGUGAUAGCUACAUAAAUCCUAGAUCGUGCUGUCUUUACUCUGAAGGCAUGAGGUGGAGGCCGCGUGUGUGCCCCGUGGUGGGAGGUGGCGGGAGGGCUUGGGGAGACCGAGCAGCCCUCCCCCUUGGUCAGGUAAACCCUGAUGGCUACCCUGAAGACGUUCCUGGGCCUCUCCUGUGAGUGCCUGCCUUCCUGGACCACGUUAGUGUUUCCUUUUAAAGGACGAGCUCCUCACUGGCACCUAGAGCCUUGUUUCCAGAAAGUGCAGUAGGGUUAGCUAGUACAUCUGUGCUGCUUCCAGUCAGUGCUUCUGUUUCCAAAUUAUAAGGACCUGAAGAUGGUCCCUUCUUUCUCUUUCUUUCUCUCUUUUUCUGUGUCUCAGAUGGCGAUUUUGCUGACAGCUACCAAGAAAGCGCUUCACUCAACAGUCCACAUGUGCCCAGAGAUGAUUAUAGGACUGUCUGACUUGCAGCCAUGUCCCCACCCCCGCCCCAGGCCGAAGAGCAGUUCUUUUUAAGUUGAUUCAGAAGUGGCACUGUUUUCUCCCCAAAGAGUUUAAGAGUUCAAAGCACAUGACUGCACAGAUGCUCGCAGGGUUUUCUCAGGAGCGACACAGCACCUGACUCUCCUCGUAGGGAAGGAGGGGCGUGUGUGGCUGGAUUAGGCGGUCCGUGGUGUGUCGCUCCUCUUAGCGCCCUUCACUCUCUUUAAAAUGCUGCUGUCAUUUCCCUUUUUCCAGUACUAAUGAUUCUAUUGGUUUUUCCCUCUUAUUACUACUGUCUUAAUUCAUUUUCCUUCCUAAAUUCAUUAUUUGCAUAUCAAAUUCUGUACAUGUUUUAUAAACAUAUUACCUCACUCUUGGUAAUACAAUACUGAUAGUCUUUAAAAGAUUUUUUUAUUGUUAUCAAUAAUAAAUGUGAACUGUUUAAAGAAAA